GGAAGGGAUCAUUACCGAGUUUACACUCCCAACCCCUGUGUAACAUACCACUUGUUGCCUCGGCGGAUCAGCCCGCUCCCGGUAAAACGGGACGGCCCGCCAGAGGACCCCUAAACUCUGUUUCUAUAUGUAACUUCUGAGUAAAACCAUAAAUAAAUCAAAACUUUCAACAACGGAUCUCUUGGUUCUGGCAUCGAUGAAGAACGCAGCAAAAUGCGAUAAGUAAUGUGAAUUGCAGAAUUCAGUGAAUCAUCGAAUCUUUGAACGCACAUUGCGCCCGCCAGUAUUCUGGCGGGCAUGCCUGUUCGAGCGUCAUUUCAACCCUCAAGCACAGCUUGGUGUUGGGACUCGCGUUAAUUCGCGUUCCUCAAAUUGAUUGGCGGUCACGUCGAGCUUCCAUAGCGUAGUAGUAAAACCCUCGUUACUGGUAAUCGUCGCGGCCACGCCGUUAAACCCCAACUUCUGAAUGUUGACCUCGGAUCAAGUAAGGAUACCCGCUGAACUUAAGCAUAUCAAUAAGCGGAAGAAACAUUAGGUUUUACCCAACCCUGUGGAAU
Molecule: ribosomal RNA, 557 nt
Filed under: Fusarium oxysporum
Lineage: Eukaryota; Fungi; Ascomycota; Sordariomycetes; Hypocreales; Nectriaceae
Description: eukaryotic LSU rRNA
Rfam family: 5.8S ribosomal RNA (bases 162-315)
Source: RNAcentral